GAUGAACGCUGGCGGCGUGCCUAAUACAUGCAAGUCGAGCGAACGGACGAGAAGCUUGCUUCUCUGAUGUUAGCGGCGGACGGGUGAGUAACACGUGGAUAACCUACCUAUAAGACUGGGAUAACUUCGGGAAACCGGAGCUAAUACCGGAUAAUAUUUUGAACCGCAUGGUUCAAAAGUGAAAGACGGUCUUGCUGUCACUUAUAGAUGGAUCCGCGCUGCAUUAGCUAGUUGGUAAGGUAACGGCUUACCAAGGCAACGAUGCAUAGCCGACCUGAGAGGGUGAUCGGCCACACUGGAACUGAGACACGGGCCAGACUCCUACGGGAGGCAGCAGUAGGGAAUCUUCCGCAAUGGGCGAAAGCCUGACGGAGCAACGCCGCGUGAGUGAUGAAGGUCUUCGGAUCGUAAAACUCUGUUAUUAGGGAAGAACAUAUGUGUAAGUAACUGUGCACAUCUUGACGAUACCUAAUCAGAAAGCCACGGCUAACUACGUG
This 497-nucleotide ribosomal RNA is filed under the name uncultured bacterium. RNAcentral describes it as "partial 16S ribosomal RNA". It matches the Rfam family "Bacterial small subunit ribosomal RNA", at positions 28 to 507 of the family's 1533-position model. The record is from RNAcentral.